This 629-nucleotide ribosomal RNA is filed under the name Pseudoxanthomonas sp. Arv-22-1.3. RNAcentral describes it as "bacterial SSU rRNA". It matches the Rfam family "Bacterial small subunit ribosomal RNA", at positions 56 to 674 of the family's 1533-position model. Lineage: Bacteria; Pseudomonadati; Pseudomonadota; Gammaproteobacteria; Lysobacterales; Lysobacteraceae. The record is from RNAcentral.
UGCAAGUCGAACGGCAGCACGAGAGAGCUUGCUCUCUUGGUGGCGAGUGGCGGACGGGUGAGGAAUACAUCGGAAUCUACCUUUUGGUGGGGGAUAACGUAGGGAAACUUACGCUAAUACCGCAUACGCCCUUCGGGGGAAAGCCGGGGACCUUCGGGCCUGGCGCUGAUAGAUGAGCCGAUGUCGGAUUAGCUAGUUGGUGAGGUAAUGGCUCACCAAGGCGACGAUCCGUAGCUGGUCUGAGAGGAUGAUCAGCCACACUGGAACUGAGACACGGUCCAGACUCCUACGGGAGGCAGCAGUGGGGAAUAUUGGACAAUGGGCGCAAGCCUGAUCCAGCCAUACCGCGUGGGUGAAGAAGGCCUUCGGGUUGUAAAGCCCUUUUGUUGGGAAAGAAAAGCAAUCGGUUAAUACCCGGUUGUUCUGACGGUACCCAAAGAAUAAGCACCGGCUAACUUCGUGCCAGCAGCCGCGGUAAUACGAAGGGUGCAAGCGUUACUCGGAAUUACUGGGCGUAAAGCGUGCGUAGGUGGUGGUUUAAGUCCGUUGUGAAAGCCCUGGGCUCAACCUGGGAAUUGCAGUGGAUACUGGGUCACUAGAGUGUGGUAGAGGAUAGUGGAAUUUCCGGU